GUCGAGCGGCAGCGCGGGGGCAACCCUGGCGGCGAGCGGCGAACGGGUGAGUAACACAUCGGAACGUACCCUGUCGUGGGGGAUAGCCCGGCGAAAGCCGGAUUAAUACCGCAUACGACCUGAGGGUGAAAGCGGGGGAUCGCAAGACCUCGCGCGAUAGGAGCGGCCGAUGGCGGAUUAGCUAGUUGGUGAGGUAAAGGCUCACCAAGGCGACGAUCCGUAGCUGGUCUGAGAGGACGACCAGCCACACUGGAACUGAGACACGGUCCAGACUCCUACGGGAGGCAGCAGUGGGGAAUUUUGGACAAUGGGGGCAACCCUGAUCCAGCCAUUCCGCGUGAGUGAAGAAGGCCUUCGGGUUGUAAAGCUCUUUCGGCAGGAACGAAACGGUGGAGGCUAAUACCUUUCAUCAAUGACGGUACCUGAAGAAGAAGCACCGGCUAACUACGUGCCAGCAGCCGCGGUAAUACGUAGGGUGCGAGCGUUAAUCGGAAUUACUGGGCGUAAAGCGUGCGCAGGCGGUUCUAUAAGACAGAUGUGAGAUCCCCGGGCUUAACCUGGGAACUGCGUUUGUGACUGUAGGACUGGAGUGUGGCAGAGGGGGGUGGAAUUCCACGUGUAGCAGUGAAAUGCGUAGAGAUGUGGAGGAACACCGAUGGCGAAGGCAGCCCCCUGGGUUAACACUGACGCUCAUGCACGAAAGCGUGGGGAGCAAACAGGAUUAGAUACCCUGGUAGUCCACGCCCUAACGAUGCGAACUAGGUGUUGGAGAAGGAGACUUCUUUAGUACCGUAGCUAA
RNAcentral lists this ribosomal RNA (799 nucleotides) under uncultured bacterium. Its description in RNAcentral is "bacterial SSU rRNA". It matches the Rfam family "Bacterial small subunit ribosomal RNA", at positions 61 to 855 of the family's 1533-position model. The record is from RNAcentral.